This 253-nucleotide ribosomal RNA is filed under the name uncultured bacterium. RNAcentral describes it as "partial 16S ribosomal RNA". It matches the Rfam family "Bacterial small subunit ribosomal RNA", at positions 524 to 776 of the family's 1533-position model. The record is from RNAcentral.
UACGAAGGGUGCAAGCGUUACUCGGAAUUACUGGGCGUAAAGCGUGCGUAGGCGGUUUGUUAAGUCCGUUGUGAAAGCCCUGGGCUCAACCUGGGAAUUGCAGUGGAUACUGGCGAGCUAGAGUGCGGUAGAGGAUGGUGGAAUUCCCGGUGUAGCGGUGAAAUGCGUAGAGAUCCGGAGGAACCCCAGAGGCGAAGGCGGCGCCCUGGCUCGCAACUGACGCUCAGACACGACAGCAUGGGGAGCGAACGGG